UGGGGAAUAUUGCACAAUGGAGGGAACUCUGAUGCAGCGACGCCGCGUGAACGAAGAAGGCUUUCGAGUCGUAAAGUUCUUUUAUAUGGGAAGAUAAUGACGGUACCAUAAGAAAAAGCCCCGGCUAACUACGUGCCAGCAGCCGCGGUAAUACGGAGGGUGCAAGCGUUAAUCGGAAUUACUGGGCGUAAAGCGCACGCAGGCGGUUUGUUAAGUCAGAUGUGAAAUCCCCGGGCUCAACCUGGGAACUGCAUCUGAUACUGGCAAGCUUGAGUCUCGUAGAGGGGGGUAGAAUUCCAGGUGUAGCGGUGAAAUGCGUAGAGAUCUGGAGGAAUACCGGUGGCGAAGGCGGCCCCCUGGACGAAGACUGACGCUCAGGUGCGAAAGCGUGGGGAGCAAACAGG
This 404-nucleotide ribosomal RNA is filed under the name Fusobacteriota bacterium. RNAcentral's name for it is "Fusobacteria bacterium partial 16S ribosomal RNA". It matches the Rfam family "Bacterial small subunit ribosomal RNA", at positions 355 to 776 of the family's 1533-position model. Lineage: Bacteria; Fusobacteriati; Fusobacteriota. The record is from RNAcentral.